GAUGAAGAACGCAGCGAAAUGCGAUAAGUAAUGUGAAUUGCAGAAUUCAGUGAAUCAUCGAAUCUUUGAACGCACAUUGCGCCCGCCAGUAUUCUGGCGGGCAUGCCUGUUCGAGCGUCAUUACAACCCUCAGGCCCCCGGGCCUGGCGUUGGGGAUCGGCGGAAGCCCCCUGCGGGCACAACGCCGUCCCCAAAUACAGUGGCGGUCCCGCCGCAGCUUCCAUUGCGUAGUAGCUAACACCUCGCAACUGGAGAGCGGCGCGGCCACGCCGUAAAACACCCAACUUCUGAAUGUUGACCUCGAAUCAGGUAGGAAUACCCGCUGAACUUAAGCAUAUCAAUAAGCGGAGGA
RNAcentral lists this unclassified non-coding RNA (352 nucleotides) under soil metagenome. RNAcentral's name for it is "partial contains 5.8S ribosomal RNA, internal transcribed spacer 2, and large subunit ribosomal RNA". The stretch from base 1 to 120 matches the Rfam family "5.8S ribosomal RNA", at positions 35 to 154 of the family's 154-position model. The record is from RNAcentral.